ACGGGAGGCAGCAGUGGGGAAUAUUGGGCAAUGGGCGAAAGCCUGACCCAGCGACGCCGCGUGAGGGAAGACGGUCUUCGGAUUGUAAACCUUAGUCAACAGGGAAGAAACAAAUGACGGUACCUGUGGAGGAAGCCACGGCUAACUACGUGCCAGCAGCCGCGGUAAUACGUAGGUGGCGAGCGUUAUCCGGAAUUACUGGGUGUAAAGGGUGUGUAGGCGGGGCAGCAAGUCAGACGUGAAAACUAUGGGCUCAACUCAUAGCCUGCGUUUGAAACUGCAGUUCUUGAGAGUCGGAGAGGUAAACGGAAUUCCCAGUGUAGCGGUGAAAUGCGUAGAUAUUGGGAGGAACACCAGUGGCGAAGGCGGUUUACUGGACGACAACUGACGCUGAUACACGAAAGCGUGGGGAGCAAACAGGAUUAGAUACCCUGGUA
RNAcentral lists this ribosomal RNA (437 nucleotides) under uncultured Oscillospiraceae bacterium. Its description in RNAcentral is "bacterial SSU rRNA". It matches the Rfam family "Bacterial small subunit ribosomal RNA", at positions 341 to 792 of the family's 1533-position model. The record is from RNAcentral. Lineage: Bacteria; Bacillati; Bacillota; Clostridia; Eubacteriales; Oscillospiraceae.